GUUCUCAGUCUUCCCUGCAUCCCACCCCAGUCAGACCUGGAGAUCAAACCACUCUGUAUCAGGGAUGUGAAAGAUUAACCAGUUAAUCGGCUAAUUGGCCGAACCACUUCCUUGGGCCCCUGCUGAGACUGCCACUCAGGACAGCGACCCUCCUCCACUGGACUGAGACCAGCUUCUCAUCUCAUGCUGGUUACUGAACAGCCCGCCAGACGCUCCCUGUCCUGCACUUGUGACAUUAUGAUCAUCUCCAUGGCAACCGAUUAUGAUGAUAUAAAUAAGCCCUUACGACAUCAUAUUGCACAGAGGAGAAGGAGAGAGAGAUGCACCACAAGGGAAAAAGCAAUUGUUAAUAUGCAGCCGAUUGCAGAUCAUUCUGACUCUCCACAAAGGAAGCAA
This is a non-coding RNA of Pelodiscus sinensis (Chinese soft-shelled turtle), 396 nucleotides long. The record is from RefSeq and is a predicted model, not a curated record. Lineage: Eukaryota; Metazoa; Chordata; Testudines; Trionychidae.